RNAcentral lists this long non-coding RNA (482 nucleotides) under Androctonus crassicauda. The record is from RNAcentral. Lineage: Eukaryota; Metazoa; Arthropoda; Arachnida; Scorpiones; Buthidae.
UCAUAUUAAAAGUAUUUUUAUGUUAAAAUUUUAAAACGUAAAAACUUGAUUUGCAUAGUUCAAUUUUAUAUUCAAAUAUAUAUGGUAAUUUUGUUAUUUACUACUAUUAAAAAAUAUUUAUAUAUUUUUUUUUGUUUCUCCUUGUUUGUCAUCAGGGGGCGCUUUUCUCAAGGAAGAGCUUACCCUUUUUCUCCGGUAAAUUAUUAUUGUUUUGACUUGUGUGUGUGUGCACGUGUUUGUUUGCGUGGAGGACUCCAUUGGAACUGUGAUAGAACCAGAUUAAACUCUUAGCGAGGAAAUCCGGCCACAUCGAUUGGAAGACAACUUUCACGUUUAAGAACUUUUCUCCAUUGUAACAAAGAAUUGAAGAUCUCCGACGUGAACUCAUUAUUUUUAAUUUAUUAAGUUUAAUCUAUUGUAUAAUUUAUAGUCAUUAGUUGUAAUUCUCUUCAUCCUUUAAUUUAGUAAUAACUUUAGUAUAA